Molecule: long non-coding RNA, 414 nt
Filed under: Equus caballus (horse)
Lineage: Eukaryota; Metazoa; Chordata; Mammalia; Perissodactyla; Equidae
Description: lncRNA (ENSECAG00000059930.1)
Source: RNAcentral
AAAGAAUCUCAUUCAGCCUUUUUACCUAUGGCAGCCACUACUAGAAAAAUUACAUUGCAUCAAACUUUUUGACAGUUGCCCAUGCCCAGGAAGGACUGGACUGUCACCCAUGGGAGUGAGCUCCCCAUCUUUGGAGGUAUACAAAAGAAAUCAAGACAGAAUCGGAAAGGUCUGACGCAGAUCAGCCUGCCCACUCUUCAGUGUUUGGGUUGUUCAAGCCCAACUUCCUCCCUGCAUUUUUGUUGAGAUUAACAUAGGCAUGGUCAAGUUCACAAACGUCACAAGUAGAGGCUGAUGAGGGUGAUGACCUUCCAGUCUGGAUCUAGCACAUUCCCAGCCUCUGGCAGUUCUUGGACACUCCAGGUGAUUCUCCCGUCCCAAGGCGACCACUGCCCUGACCUCUGUUGCUGUAGG